This 2336-nucleotide long non-coding RNA is filed under the name Salmo salar (Atlantic salmon). RNAcentral describes it as "lncRNA (ENSSSAG00000102272.1)". Lineage: Eukaryota; Metazoa; Chordata; Actinopteri; Salmoniformes; Salmonidae. The record is from RNAcentral.
GCCACGUGAGAAUACGACACACUUUCCCUGGAUAGCCAAGCUCAAACGAAAAUUGCUAACGUAGGCCUAACCGGAGAAAUAGAUGACGUUGUACCCAUAGUAACUAUACGGAUGUAUCCCAACCAAAAACCAUAGAUUACAGGCAAUAUCCGUGCUGGGCUAAAGGCUAGAGCUUCCGCUUACAGGGAACAGGACACGGACAUGGACACAAACAAGAAAGCCCACUACGACCUCCAAUGAGACAUCAAACAUGCAGACGAUAAUGGAUUACAAAGGGAAACCCGGCUGUGAGAUGGGUAGCGACGCAUAACUCAAAAACAAGCUAAAUGCCUUUUCAACACAAACACAUCAUAAAGUUUGCUGAUGAUACGACGUUGGUAGGCCUGAUCACCAACUGCGAUGAGACAGCCUACAGGGAGGAGGUCAGAGACUUGGGAGUGUUGUGGGACAACAACCUCUCCCUCAACAUCGAUCUAUCUGUUGCCUUUAACACCGUGAACCAUCAGAUCCUCCUCUCCACCCUCUCAGGGCUGGGCGUCUAAGGCUAUGCACACUCUUGGAUUGCAUCCUACCUGGCAGGCCGCUCCUACCAGGUGGCGACAUGCAUCUCUGUGUGCCUUGCAGAUAUCUCAGCUUGGAUGUCAGCCCACCACCUCAAGCUCAACCUCGACAAGACGGAACUACUCUUCCUCCCGGGAAAGGCCUGCCACCUCAAAGCCCUCUCCAUCCCGGUUGACAACUCCACAGUGUCACCCUCCCAAAGUGCAAAGAACCUUGGCGUGACCCUGGACAACACCCUGUCGUUCUCUGCAAACAUCAAAGCAGUGACCCGCUACUGCAGGUUCAUGCUCUACAACAUCCAUAGAGUACGACCCUACCUCACACAGGAAGUGGCGCAGGUCCUAAUCCAUAAAAAAAAAAAAACAUUUAAAAGGACAAAUCUGAGGGGGUACGUGCCCCUGUGCCCCCUAUGGGCAUGAAGCCUCUCUUACUCACUACAUGAGCUUGUGUGACUUUGCAAACACAAUCAACAGUAUGUUAAUUAAGAGACCAUCCUUGUCCAUCAGCGUUCAGUUUAUUUGAAGCAUUACUUAAUGAGGUCAAGAUCAACAAGACUACAUUCUCUGUCACAUAAGAAGUCAGUUUGUGCUUACGGUUUGUUUAUUUGUUUACAACACUGUUAUAGACACAUGAUACCCAUGAGGUAGUCUAUUUUUAAACGGAGCCUUAUGUGUGAAGCUGAGACCAACAGCCACUGAGAGUGAUAAGACAUUGAGGAAGACUAGAACUCGAAAACAUGAGGUAGAGAAAAAGGGUUUCCUCUGUACUAUUCUUUAUCUGCAGCUAGUGUUUGUUGAGUAAAGGUGCUGUACGGUCAUGCUGGGACAAGAGCCUUCCAAUCUAGAGACUGUUAUGCCUCAUGGUUGUGGGAGGAAUUGUAGGACAUUCUGUUUUACGACACAUUCUCGCUCUCUUGUUUAACUAAUCUUGUGGGGACACACAAUUAAUUCCCAUUCCAAAUCCUAAUUUCCCUAAGCCCUAACUCUAAAUCUAACCCUAAACCUAACCUUUAACCCUCAUUCUUACCUUAACCACAAACCCCCUAGAAAUAGCCUUUUUCCCUGUGGGGACUAACAAAAUGUCCCCAGUUGGUCAAAUUUGUGUUUGUUUACUAUUCUUGUGGGAACCUUUGGUCCCCACAAGUAUAGUUAAACACGUCCAUACACACACACACACACAUUUAUAAUGUUGAGAAAGUCACAAAUGUGUAGAAAGGAUAAUUGAACACUUCAUUUUAUUCAUUUUUUAAUUUGGCUCCAGUACAUUAUGGAUCUAGGGCAUUACAGCUAAGAGCCAGAGCAACAGCCUUUGAUUAAUAACCUGUUUUCUAUGCAGGACACUGAUACUUAUGCGGCCUCUUGUCAUACUCACAACGUAAGCAGCAACCACUCCCCCACGGUCAACUUUGUUACUCAAACAGCUCACCAUUCAAGAAGCACCCACAAUGUUUCCCAUUCAAUGUAUUCUGGAGCUCCAUGGGGACAACACUACAUUCAUAUGAAUGAGAGAUUAUGCUCUACUAUAUUUGAACUGAAUACAUUUAAGAACAAAAUAAAGAGUGAGAGAAACUUAAGACUGUAAUUCAAUCUGUACGGUUUGUUUGGAUGUAUUUGUAAUAACAAAACAGAACUGGUAUUUUGUGGUUUUCGUGAUGUUGUGCGAUUGACUGACAACGUCUUGUCUAGGGGAAAUGAGUAAGGGGAAAAGGCUAUGCUACUCUAGGUGUUUUUCUCUUCUUACCCAGUACCAAUACACUCUCACUCCUUCAUCCUCAC